This 358-nucleotide ribosomal RNA is filed under the name Eukaryota sp. RNAcentral's name for it is "SSU rRNA". It matches the Rfam family "Eukaryotic small subunit ribosomal RNA", at positions 1325 to 1699 of the family's 1831-position model. The record is from RNAcentral.
UCGUUAACGAACGAGACCUCGACCUGCUAAAUAGUUCGACCAAGGAUUCGUUCUUGGUUGUUGACUUCUUAGAGGGACUAUCGGUGUGUAGCCGACGGAAGUUCGAGGCAAUAACAGGUCUGUGAUGCCCUUCGAUGUUCUGGGCCGCACGCGCGCUACACUGAUGCAGGCAUCGAGCAUUUUUUCCUUGACUGAGAGGUCUGGGUAAUCUUCGCAAACUGCAUCGUGAUGGGGCUAGAUUAUUGUAAUUAUUAAUCUUCAACGAGGAAUUCCUAGUAAACGCAAGUCAUCAACUUGCAUUGAUUACGUCCCUGCCCUUUGUACACACCGCCCGUCGCUAAUACCGAUUGAAUGGAUA